UCAGGCGGCCGGACGGCUGCGGGGAGCGAUCCCUGAGGAAAGUCCGGGCUCCAGGAAGACAGGGCGCCGGGUAACGCCCGGCCAGCGUGAGCUGAGGGAUAGCGCCACAGAGAUCGAACCGCCCGGCGUGACCUCCGCAAGGAGGCGAAGCCGGGUAAGGGUGAAAAGGUGCGGUAAGAGCGCACCGCUGCGCCGGUAACGGAGCAGGCAUGGCAAGCCCCGCCCGGAGCAAUGCCGAAUAGGGACCGCGCGCCUGUCGCAAGGCGGGCAGGGGCGUCACCCCCCGAGCGGUCCGGGUUGGCAGCUGGAGGCGCGGCGCAAGCCGCGUCCAAGAGGAAUGGCCGUCCCUCCGCAAGGAGGACAGAACCCGGCUUACAGGCCGCCUGACGCG
Molecule: RNase P RNA, 391 nt
Filed under: Parvularcula sp.
Lineage: Bacteria; Pseudomonadati; Pseudomonadota; Alphaproteobacteria; Parvularculales; Parvularculaceae
Description: RNase P RNA component class A
Rfam family: Bacterial RNase P class A
About the family: Ribonuclease P (RNase P) is a ubiquitous endoribonuclease, found in archaea, bacteria and eukarya as well as chloroplasts and mitochondria. Its best characterised activity is the generation of mature 5'-ends of tRNAs by cleaving the 5'-leader elements of precursor-tRNAs.
Source: RNAcentral